Molecule: ribosomal RNA, 301 nt
Filed under: uncultured bacterium
Lineage: Bacteria
Description: partial 16S ribosomal RNA
Rfam family: Bacterial small subunit ribosomal RNA
Source: RNAcentral
CAGUCGCCGCGGUAAUACGUAGGGUCCGAGCGUUGUCCGGAAUUAUUGGGCGUAAAGAGCUCGUAGGCGGUUUGUCGCGUCUGCCGUGAAAGUCCGGGGCUCAACCCCGGAUCUGCGGUGGGUACGGGCAGACUAGAGUGAUGUAGGGGAGACUGGAAUUCCUGGUGUAGCGGUGAAAUGCGCAGAUAUCAGGAGGAACACCGAUGGCGAAGGCAGGUCUCUGGGCAUUAACUGACGCUGAGGAGCGAAAGCAUGGGGAGCGAACAGGAUUAGAUACCCGGGUAGUCCCUGUCUCUUAUAC